This is a long non-coding RNA of Neltuma alba, 758 nucleotides long. RefSeq lists it as uncharacterized. Lineage: Eukaryota; Viridiplantae; Streptophyta; Magnoliopsida; Fabales; Fabaceae. The transcript is spliced from 2 exons. The record is from RefSeq and is a predicted model, not a curated record.
ACUUCCUCCUCCAUAUUAUCCAAUUGGAAUGUGUGAGGCACAAAGCAAUCGUUGCCAUCAGCCAUCCUACAUUGACAUCCUGCAGAAUAUGCAUAGCUCUGCAACGUCUGCAGGAUAUGUUCUUAUUUUACCAGUUCAAGGUCUAUAUAGACAGGGAUGGUCACAGUUGGAAGAAUGAGUGGCAUUUCCCGAGACAAGUUUCAUUUGGACGGAGUUAGACUUGCAAAAGGUGGAAGAUGAAUUAAUUUUCUGAAAGGUAUUCAUACCGAAAAGGUUUUCCCAGUCCAAUGGAGCGUCUUGAUGCGAAUGGCUAUGCACUACCACUAUUUCGCCCUUGAUGAGAUGGGCAGCCUGACCAGAAACUCCAUUCUCCUGAAGACGAGCUGAUUCAAUUUGCUUUGGAUUUGUCAUCGUUGGGAACAAAAGUAUAUAACGUUAAGAAAAGAGUUAGGUAAUUGACUUUUGUAUUUGGAUCAACAGAUGAAUAAGCUUAGUCACUACUGAUUCAGAUGGAGUCUGAAGUCUUCCCAGAUUGCUCCCUAUGGCUUUAGACCAUUUGGACAUGCAGUGAUAGCAAAAGAAGCAUUAUUAUUGCAUCAUUUAUUAGAAUGCCGCCAGUGGACUAGUUCAAAGUUCAUGGCCAGAUCCCAGUCUUUUUUAAAUACUGGUUUGUCCAAGCACGCGUUUUUGUGCUUUGAAUCGACAUUACUUGACUGGACUGCCUCACCGAAGGCUUGAAUGAAUGCUCUUGAUAUUUA